UACGAAGGGGGCUAGCGUUGCUCGGAAUCACUGGGCGUAAAGCGCACGUAGGCGGCUUACUAAGUCAGGGGUGAAAUCCUGGAGCUCAACUCCAGAACUGCCUUUGAUACUGGUGAGCUUGAGUCCGGAAGAGGUGAGUGGAACUGCGAGUGUAGAGGUGAAAUUCGUAGAUAUUCGCAAGAACACCAGUGGCGAAGGCGACUUUCUGGCUCGAUACUGACGCUAAGGCGCGAAAGCGUGGGGAGCAAACAGG
RNAcentral lists this ribosomal RNA (253 nucleotides) under uncultured bacterium. Its description in RNAcentral is "partial 16S ribosomal RNA". It matches the Rfam family "Bacterial small subunit ribosomal RNA", at positions 524 to 776 of the family's 1533-position model. The record is from RNAcentral.